GUGCAUGUGUGUAUAGUUGUGUGUGCAUGUUCAUGUCUAUAUUUGAAUAUACAUAACAUACACACACACACGUAUAAACGCAAGCAC
This 87-nucleotide microRNA precursor is filed under the name Mus musculus (house mouse). RNAcentral's name for it is "microRNA mmu-mir-669p precursor (mmu-mir-669p-1, mmu-mir-669p-2)". Its record names the gene mmu-mir-669p-1. The record is from miRBase by way of RNAcentral. Lineage: Eukaryota; Metazoa; Chordata; Mammalia; Rodentia; Muridae.